Polypterus senegalus (gray bichir) is the source of this 409-nucleotide long non-coding RNA. RefSeq lists it as uncharacterized. NCBI's taxonomy places the organism in Eukaryota, Metazoa, Chordata, Cladistia, Polypteriformes, Polypteridae. The record is from RefSeq and is a predicted model, not a curated record. The transcript is spliced from 3 exons.
AGACCACUUAAUCAUCCGCUCGAAAUGGAUAUAGAAUCGAAAGCCAGCACAGCUCUUCUUUUAUUAUAAUAGUACAUUUUUAUUUAUAAGAAAACAGAACGCUUCUGUAUGCGCUAAUGAUGAUAAAUGAUGCUUCAGGGGAGUGAGGCAGCGCUAAUGAAAAGCCGCCGUAUUGACGAGCGCCGGCCACCUGCGCGGGCUGCAGGAUCUCAACGAGCCGCCAAUGUCCACUACGCCUAGCGGGAGACGCGGAGCUUUCGGGCGCGCCUGGGGACGCCUCAUCAGAGCGGGGACACCGGCUGGACCUCCGAGCAGACCUCUCGAGGAUUAUCUCCUCUGUCCUGAAUAGAGGACCUACUGAAUUACUAAGUGAAAGAUGAUGAUAAAACAAUGAUAAAGCUUCAGUUUU